This 208-nucleotide ribosomal RNA is filed under the name uncultured bacterium. RNAcentral's name for it is "partial 16S ribosomal RNA". It matches the Rfam family "Bacterial small subunit ribosomal RNA", at positions 129 to 334 of the family's 1533-position model. The record is from RNAcentral.
CCUUUGGGUGUGGAAUAACCAGUCGAAAGAUUGGCUAAUACCACAUAAUGCAGCGGCUCGACAUCGAGACAGUUGUUAAAGCAGAAAUGCGCUUAAAGAGGAGCCUGCGUCUGAUUAGCUUGUUGGUGAGGUAAUGGCUCACCAAGGCUACGAUCAGUAGCUGGUCUGAGAGGACGGCCAGCCACAAUGGCACUGAAACACGGGCCAU